RNAcentral lists this ribosomal RNA (1826 nucleotides) under Trichinella sp. T6. Its description in RNAcentral is "SSU rRNA". It matches the Rfam family "Eukaryotic small subunit ribosomal RNA". Lineage: Eukaryota; Metazoa; Nematoda; Enoplea; Trichinellida; Trichinellidae. The record is from RNAcentral.
AACCUGGUUGAUCCUGCCAGUAGUCAUAUGCUUGUCUCAAAGAUUAAGCCAUGCAUGUGUAAGCACACACUGUUUAAAAGUGAAGCCGCGAAUGGCUCAUUACAACAGCCACAGUUUAUUAGAACUUACAAUCAUGGAUAACUGUGGUAAUUCUAGAGCUAAUACACGCACAAAAACUUCAACUGAAUUGGUUGAAGUGCUUUUAUUAGAACAAAAACCGAACGGCGUUUGACGAAUGUUGAACGUCGAAACUGUUUGGUGAAUCUGAAUAACUAUUUCUGAUCGCAUGGUCUAGCACCGGCGACAUCACUUUCAAGUGUCUGCCUUAUCAACCUUCGAUGGUAGUCUAUGCGACUACCAUGGUGAUAACGGGUAACGGAGAAUCAGGGUUCGACUCCGGAGAGGGAGCCUGAGAAACGGCUACCACAUCCAAGGAAGGCAGCAGGCGCGCAAAUUACCCACUCCCAGCUUGGGGAGGUAGUGACGAAAAAUAACGAGACGAUUCUCGUUUGAGAAACGUUAUCGAAAUGAGUACGCUUUACACACGCUAACGAGUAGCAAUUGGAGGGCAAGUCUGGUGCCAGCAGCCGCGGUAAUUCCAGCUCCAAUAGCGUAUAUUAAAGUUGCUGCGGUUAAAACGCUCGUAGUUGAAUUGUGGUCUUAGACAACAGUCCCCCUACAUAGGUGUGGCACGGUUGCUCGAGAUCUUCAUUCGUGGUUGCUGUUGUUGCUCUUCAUUGAGUGUCAAUGGUGCCUCGAGAUUUUACUUCGAAAAAAUUAGAGUGCUCAAAGCAGGUUGUGAUGCCUGAAUAAUGGUGCAUGGAAUAAUAGAAUACGAUCUCGGUUCUAUUUUGUUGGUUUUCGAACCGGAGAUAAUGAUUGAAAGGAACAGACGGGGGCAUUCGUAUUGCUGCGUUAGAGGUGAAAUUCUUGGAUCGCAGCAAGAUGAACAAUUGCGAAAGCAUUUGCCAAGAAUGUUUUCAUUAAUCAAGAACGAAAGUUAGAGGUUCGAAGGCGAUCAGAUACCGCCCUAGUUCUAACGGUAAACUAUGCCAACCAGCGAUUCGCCGAAGUUCAUUUAAGACUCGGCGAGCAGCUUCCGGGAAACCAAAGUGUUUCGGUUCCGGGGGAAGUAUGGUUGCAAAGCUGAAACUUAAAGGAAUUGACGGAAGGGCACCACCAGGAGUGGAGCCUGCGGCUUAAUUUGACUCAACACGGGAAAACUCACCCGGCCCGGACACUGGAAGGAUUGACAGAUUGACAGCUCUUUCUUGAUUCAGUGGGUAGUGGUGCAUGGCCGUUCUUAGUUGGUGGGGCGAUUUGUCUGGUUAAUUCCGAUAACGAACGAGACUCUACCCUAUUAAAUAGUGACAGUAUUGUAUUUUUUGUGCUGAUCACUUCUUAGAGGGACUGGCAAAUUGAAAGCUGCACGAAAAAGAGCAAUAACAGGUCUGUGAUGCCCUUCGAUGUCCGGGGCUGCACGCGCGCUACAAUGAAAGCGUCAACGUGAGUUACGUCCUUACCUGAAAAGGUUUGGCAAUCGAAUGAAACGUUUUCUUGAAUGGAAUAGGGAAUUGCAAUUGUUUCCCUUGAACGAGGAAUUCCCAGUAAGCGUGAGUCAUUAGCUCGCGUUGAUUACGUCCCUGCCCUUUGUACACACCGCCCGUCGCUACUACCGAUUGGAUGAUUUAGUGAGGUGUUUUGACUGGCGCCAGUAGUCGGAUGUAUUCGGCUUCGCGCCGGGAAAUUUCCCAAACCAAAUCAUCUAGAGGAAGUAAAAGUCGUAACAAGGUUUCCGUAGGUGAACCUGCGGAAGGAUCAUUAUC